CUAUGAAGAGGAUUAGAGGACUCUGGUGAAAGGAAGUAUAGGACGCAGCUGCCUAGGGAAAGGAUGUUGAGGAGACAGAGCCGCUCGCUGGAGGGAGGACGCCCCGCUGCUGGGGGAGACGACGUAGAGGAAGCUGCCCCGCUCGAUACUGGGGAGAAGGCUCGCUCGGUGUGGACCAAGCUCGUGGUGGAGGAGGGUGGUCGCCGGUGGAGUGGUUCCGCGACGUGGCUGGCCGGCGCCGGUGGCGUCGUCCGUGUCCUCGGCGGCGCUGUGAUGUGGGGUCGGCGGCGGCGGCAGUCUGCAGCGGUGGGGUGUGGAGGGCGGAGUCUGCAGCAGUGGCGGGCAGUGGUUGGGGCCGACAGGGGCGGCGGGGGCGGCGGUGGUGUGGUGGAGGGCGCGGUCGGCGGUGGUGGGGGUGUGGCUAGGGUUGGCGGCGGAUGUGGUCUGGAUCGAUUUGGGGAUAAAGUGGAUUGAAGUCCGU
RNAcentral lists this ribosomal RNA (481 nucleotides) under Triticum aestivum (bread wheat). RNAcentral's name for it is "partial small subunit ribosomal RNA". Lineage: Eukaryota; Viridiplantae; Streptophyta; Magnoliopsida; Poales; Poaceae. The record is from RNAcentral.